AGUCGAGCGGGAACCGGGCCUUCGGGCCCGGGGACAGCGGCGAACGGGUGAGUAACACGUGGGUAAUCUGCCCUCGGUACUGGGAUAGCCCGGGGAAACCCGGAUUAAUACCGGAUGGCCCUUCGAGUCUUCGGGCUCGCAGGAAAAGGUAGCUUCGGCCUCCGACCGAGGAUGAGCUCGCGGCGGAUUAGCUUGUUGGUGGGGUAACGGCCUACCAAGGCGACGAUCCGUAGCUGGUCUGAGAGGACGAUCAGCCACACUGGGACUGAGACACGGCCCAGACUCCUACGGGAGGCAGCAGUGGGGAAUCUUGCGCAAUGGGCGAAAGCCUGACGCAGCGACGCCGCGUGAGGGAAGAAGGCCUUCGGGUUGUAAACCUCUUUCAGGAGGGACGAAGCUACUCGGGUGAAUAGCCCAGAGGGUGACGGUACCUCCAGAAGAAGCCCCGGCUAACUACGUGCCAGCAGCCGCGGUAAUACGUAGGGGGCAAGCGUUGUCCGGAUUUAUUGGGCGUAAAGAGCGUGUAGGCGGCUAGAUAGGUCCGUUGUGAAAACUGGAGGCUCAACCUUCAGCUGUCGAUGGAAACCAUCUGGCUAGAGUCCGGAAGAGGAGAGUGGAAUUCCUGGUGUAGCGGUGAAAUGCGCAGAUAUCAGGAAGAACACCCGUGGCGAAGGCGGCUCUCUGGGACGUGACUGACGCUGAGACGCGAAAGCGUGGGGAGCGAACAGGAUUAGAUACCCUGGUAGUCCACGCCGUAAACGAUGGGUGCUAGGUGUGGGCGGUGUCGACUCCGUCCGUGCC
This 801-nucleotide ribosomal RNA is filed under the name uncultured Actinomycetes bacterium. RNAcentral describes it as "bacterial SSU rRNA". It matches the Rfam family "Bacterial small subunit ribosomal RNA", at positions 60 to 847 of the family's 1533-position model. The record is from RNAcentral. Lineage: Bacteria; Bacillati; Actinomycetota; Actinomycetes.